AAUUAUAAAAAUUCUAAAUAUUUAAAAAAUAUAUUUUCUAUAAAAAUAAUUUUCAAUCUUAAUUAAUACCGAAAAAAUUGAUGGUAUUUAAUUUUUUUGUUCCCCAAUUCUUUGUAGUAGUCCACAAGUGAAUGAUUGGGAAACAUAGAUGGUAUAUGUCUCUCUCACACAUCAAAGAUGGCUGUUAAAGUAGAUAAUGAAGAACUAUAGCACCAACAAGUCAAACCUAAGCAAUAAUGUCCGAAAUUCAUAUCCUCCUACUUUAGACUGUCCAAUUAAAAAAAAAAACUUAGAUUUUUUUUUUUAAAGAACAAAGAAAAUUCAAAACCACCGUUGUAUCUGUAUCUCCAUAAAAUCAGAUUAGCAGAGAAAGAACACCAGCUAGCAUAUACGGCUUUGAGCUGAGAAAUCUCCUCUACAUAGAUAGGUGCUUCCGCUUCCACUUCCUCUUCCUCUUGAUUGAGUUUUGAUUCUUUAUAAAUUAAUAUUGCCUUUCAAGGGGAAAUUAAUUAAGCAGUUGAAUUAACCAUAUGAUAAUAUUGUUAAUAAAUAUUUAUAUUCCAGGUUUCUCUGCAACAAAAAGAAGAUAUCGUAGAGGAAAGGAAGCAAUAAAAAUACAGAUUGAUCAGAUGCGACGAGUGGCGGUCGGCGGCCAGGUGAGUGUGUUCCAUGUUAUAUGCUGGUCAAGGGAGCAGUCUUUUUGCAGAUUAACCUUUCUUUCAUUGUCUGUUCGACCUGAAAUUAAUAUAUAUAGGUUUAGCACUCAGAAAAAAAAAAGGAAAACCCUAGCUAGAGCACCUAAUAAAACCUUAUCUUAAUCAGUUUUGAUUAAUUACUUUGAGUGUCCAUGAUCCGACUUCCUCUAAUUACAUCCAAAAAAUUACCAUCGUUUUGAGAAAAAGCAAAUAUAUAUGUAAGUUUCUGUGCAGCUGUAGCGAUUGGUCUUGCUCUAUCUAUACACAUUAUUUAGUUAUUCGGAUAACCAAUCUAUGCAUGAUUUGAUUUCUUUCUCUAUAUUGAAAGAUUUUUGUACACUAAUGCAUUCGAUUCUUAAUUUCUUCUAUGUAUCGACAUGUGUCUGUGCCAUCUAUCUGCAUAAGCCACUUGGAAUGUUUGUGUUGAAGGUUUAUUGAGUUGGGUUUCGAUAGAAUAUCCAUGCUGUGUUGGUCCCUGUUCAAAUCAAGUUUAGUUAUUUUUGUACAAAAAUAGGCUUAGGGCUAUGUGAUAUCCGUGCAUGUGAAAUACAAACGUAGAUAUAUUUUAAGGUCGAAUAGACAGUGGACGCUAGGUAUUGGCUAAGAGACUGCUCAUUUGACAAGGCUAUUUGCAUGGAAUUCGACUUCCCAAGGAUCCUUCCAUCGCUCUUGUUUUUGUCAGACUUGAACAAGAAGAGAAGGCCCCUUCUCUCGGCUGUCAUGUGGAGAGGGCUCCUUGAGUUUCUUGUGAUGUGGGUCUGUCGGCUGGAGCAACCAUAUUUCAACAUGGCUUUGUUCUUUUCGCGGACCGUUUGAGUUAAGGCUUGGUGGGAAGGUGAUGGGCAUAUGGGUCCGCCGCAUUGAUAUAUCAUUGGCCGAUCGAAGGAAAUAACGUAUAAACUUAAGGAUAUUAUUUAAACUUAAAUAGAUUAGUUUUAGUUCGAAUCAUUCGAAUUAUUAAUCAGGUUAAUUUUCAAAUUUUAUAUAAAAAUGGAAUGAAAUAUAAAUCAAUUAAUUGUGUUAAAAUUGUGGAUUCUAUGUAAAAUAGAACAAUUCCAAUUCUCCACAGAAGAUAAACUCUUCAUGUAUUAUAAUUCAUGUAUUAUAACACAGCAGCAUUGACCCCUUCACGUAUGAUUUAAAUACCAGGAUCACAAGUAAUUAGUCAUGCUGGGCCAUAAUCAAAAGCGUGCUCAGAGCACUGUGCUCUGAAUUAGGUCUCUAUGUGGACAGAUGAACUUUGAAGAGAGUGGCUGUGUGACCAUUGCUCGUGCAAACUCAGGGGUAGGUGGGGUGAAAUACUUUUUUUUUUCCUUAAUUGUGCAAUCAGUUGUAUUUUUUGUCCCCUCGAGACAAAAUUCAGUUUUUUAUUAUUUUCUUUUGAAAUUUUUUGACUGAAAAUAGUGAAUGACUGUGAACAAAGUUUAGGGUUUGAAAUUGGGAUAAAUCAAUUUGAUUUGAUUCUCAUUACUAUAUAUUCUUUACUGAUUUUUUCGAUUGACUAAUGUGAG
RNAcentral lists this unclassified non-coding RNA (2206 nucleotides) under Hevea brasiliensis (rubber tree). The record is from RNAcentral. Lineage: Eukaryota; Viridiplantae; Streptophyta; Magnoliopsida; Malpighiales; Euphorbiaceae.